AUGAACGCUGGCGGCGUGCCUAAUACAUGCAAGUCGAGCGAACAGACGAGGGGCUUGCUCCUCUGACGUUAGCGGCGGACGGGUGAGUAACACGUGGAUAACCUACCUAUAAGACUGGGAUAACUUCGGGAAACCGGAGCUAAUACCGGAUAAUAUAUUGAACCGCAUGGUUCAAUAGUGAAAGACGGUUUUGCUGUCACUUAUAGAUGGAUCCGCGCCGCAUUAGCUAGUUGGUAAGGUAACGGCUUACCAAGGCAACGAUGCGUAGCCGACCUGAGAGGGUGAUCAGCCACACUGGAACUGAGACACGGUCCAGACUCCUACGGGAGGCAGCAGUAGGGAAUCUUCCGCAAUGGGCGAAAGCUUGACGGAGCAACGCCGCGUGAGUGAUGAAGGUCUUCGGAUCGUAAAACUCUGUUAUUAGGGAAGAACAAAUGUGUAAGUAACUAUGCACGUCUUGACGGUACCUAAUCAGAAAGCCACGGCUAACUACGUG
RNAcentral lists this ribosomal RNA (496 nucleotides) under uncultured bacterium. RNAcentral's name for it is "partial 16S ribosomal RNA". It matches the Rfam family "Bacterial small subunit ribosomal RNA", at positions 29 to 507 of the family's 1533-position model. The record is from RNAcentral.